This is a non-coding RNA of Trichonephila clavipes, 73 nucleotides long. The record is from the annotation of a GenBank genome assembly. Lineage: Eukaryota; Metazoa; Arthropoda; Arachnida; Araneae; Nephilidae.
GUCCCUCUAGCGCAAUGGAUAGCACUUUGGACUUCUGAUUCAAAGGUUGUGGGUCCCAAUCCCACAUGGGAUG